Malus domestica (apple) is the source of this 1808-nucleotide long non-coding RNA. RefSeq lists it as uncharacterized. The record is from RefSeq and is a predicted model, not a curated record. NCBI's taxonomy places the organism in Eukaryota, Viridiplantae, Streptophyta, Magnoliopsida, Rosales, Rosaceae.
AAUUUUUAUAUGAACCCUGUAGUUUUUAUAAUAGGGAGACCACUAUAUUCUCAGACCCACUCUAUUUGGCAGGAGAAGAACGAAUCUUGUUCAGCACACCGGGCGAGGAUCAAAUGAUAUUUAAAGAUUACAAAUAUUUUUUCCCAUCUGCCUCACCCACCCACCCCCAACCGACACAACACCUCUCCAUUUCUCUCCAAGAAUUCAUCCAAUUCUGAAAACCUCCUCACCGACCCUUAAACAUGCAGUUAUCAGAUAACGAUACGGGUGUUGAUCAAAGGGCGUGAACUUCAAGGCCUUCACCAUCAUGGCAUCAUCUGCAUGUGUUUGGUAUAUAUGGUUGAGCAUGCAGGUUUAUGUUCGAGUGACAAUGGAUUAGAUCCCAACAACUUAUUGCCACAUCCGGACCAAAAUAUUGAAUCUGUGCCAUGUAGAUUAUUUAGGAAGAUUGAAUGUUCUUGUGCUUAUAGAUAUGAACUUUGAUUUCAUCUUCAAAGCUCACACUGCUUUACACACACACACACACACACAUUUAUAAUAUAUGUGUACGGAAUCAUACAAACUAUGCGGGAUCCCUCUAUGGAAGCUCCCUGUGUAUCGGGUAAUCCUAGAAGAUCCUUUUGCUAGUCCCAGAUUUGGUUAAUGUAUUUGCUCAAGUUGUGGCAUCACCAGUUGAAACUCCUGAAGUAAAAGCACAAAUCGGAAGAGCUUUUUCUCACCUGAUUUCAUUCUAUGGCCAACAGAUGCAGGGCCUUUUGAGUAACCUCUCCCCUGCUUAUGCAAAUGCCCUAGCCGCAUUUGUCCCGAAAAGCUGAUUCAGGAUGAGCCUGUGACUUGCCUUUGCUCCAGGAAGCUGGUCGAUUGAGCCUGUGGAUUGUGAUUCUUCACCAAUAGUUUCUACCCGCUUUUUUUGCUGAGAUUCUUUUCCAAUUCAAAGACCGCGGUGUAUUGUUCCCAUGUUUCAUAGAUGGGUUGGCUGAAGUCUUGGAGGAGGACAUCGUUCUAUUCUAUAAGGUGAUCCUCCUCCUAGUAGCACCUCCAUUUUCAAGGCUGGAGAUACUGCUUUUUCUUCUUCUUCCUUAUUUUCAUGCAGUAUCUAUGUAGAUUUUUGGUUUCAAAGUGUUUUCUAUUUCAUAAGGAAUGUGAGCACCAUAUCCUUUGAAACAACAGGCUUUUGGAUUGAUUCCAUUUGGAAACAACACAGCACAGCAUAGCAAGAAUCAUGCAUACCAAAGUAUAAUUGUUUGAUACGAAUACAACCUCGGUUCAACUCCGAUAAACUUCGUAUGGAAGUAUUUAUAGAGAACAAGAUACACAUCUUAUUGAAUAAGCAAAGGCUAAACUCACAAGAACAGGUGAAUCUAAGUACGUGAAACUUUCCGUUAUUAUUUUCCAACACCACCUUUCAAACUCAUGCUUGUGGCGUCAUGUUUCCCACAAUAGUCCUUGACCGAAAAAUCAAAUCCCACGGUGGACAUAUUUUCAUGGAAAUAUUGAAGAUAUUCCACUAGGUCUAUUGGCUUAUACUGCAUGGGGUGGUCCUCGUCCGUAAGCUCGUUUGGUACAUAUAUCACUCCUUUGUUCCAAAAGAAUUGUCCGAACGAGUAUCUUACCUUAUUUUCCUUCAAAACGACUCUGUGCAUACAAGAUUUUAUUCUGUCGUUACUCCAAACCUAGGCCAAAUAAACGACGCAUGCAAACAACAUCAAUAAAAUAUAGUUAUCAAAAGUUUAAGUUAGGUUGUUAAACACAUUUCAUCUGUCCCUUUGUUCUUGAAACUUACAUUGCCUUACACUACAAGAAAAAAA